RNAcentral lists this ribosomal RNA (440 nucleotides) under uncultured bacterium. RNAcentral describes it as "partial 16S ribosomal RNA". It matches the Rfam family "Bacterial small subunit ribosomal RNA", at positions 338 to 795 of the family's 1533-position model. The record is from RNAcentral.
CCUACGGGGGGCAGCAGUGGGGGAUAUUGCACAAUGGGGGAAACCCUGAUGCAGCGACGCCGCGUGAGUGAAGAAGUAUUUCGGUAUGUAAAGCUCUAUCAGCAGGGAAGAAAAUGACAGUACCUGACCAAGAAGCCCCGGCUAACUACGUGCCAGCAGCCGCGGUAAUACGUAGGGGGCAAGCGUUAUCCGGAUUUACUGGGUGUAAAGGGAGCGUAGACGGUUAUGUAAGUCUGGAGUGAAAGCCCGGGGCCCAACCCCGGGACUGCUUUGGAAACUGUGUAACUGGAGUACAGGAGGGGCAGGCGGAAUUCCUGGUGUAGCGGUGAAAUCCGUAGAGAUCAAGAGGAAUACUCAUUGCGAAGGCGACCUGCUGGAACAUUACUGACGCUGAUGCACGAAAGCGUGGGGAGCAAACAGGAUUAGAUACCCCAGUAGUC